RNAcentral lists this ribosomal RNA (449 nucleotides) under uncultured bacterium. RNAcentral describes it as "partial 16S ribosomal RNA". It matches the Rfam family "Bacterial small subunit ribosomal RNA", at positions 29 to 523 of the family's 1533-position model. The record is from RNAcentral.
AACGAACGCUGGCGGCAGGCCUAACACAUGCAAGUCGAACGGAUCCUUCGGGAUUAGUGGCGCACGGGUGAGUAACACGUGGGAACGUGCCCUUGGGUACGGAAAAACAGUUGGAAACGACUGCUAAUACCGUAUAAUAUCGAGAGAUCAAAGAUUUAUCGCCCAAGGAUCGGCCCGCGGAAGAUUAGGUAGUUGGUGGGGUAAAAGCCUACCAAGCCUACGAUCUAUAGCUGGUCUUAGAGGAUGAUCAGCCACACUGGAACUGAGACACGGUCCAGACUCCUACGGGAGGCAGCAGUGAGGAAUAUUGGACAAUGGGCGAAAGCCUGAUCCAGCCAUGCCGCGUGAAUGAUGAAGGCCUUAGGGUUGUAAAGUUCUUUUAGCUGUGACGAUAAUGACGGUAGCAGCAGAAAAAGCCCCGGCUAACUUCGUGCCAGCAGCCGCAGUAA